AGAAAAAAAAAACAAUAAAGAGAUAGUUUUCUGAAAAUAAAAAGAGAUAGAGCGAAACGAGGUUUUGAGUCACGUAAUCGCUUGAUUGAUUCGCAUAGCACAAGAAACCCUAGAUACAAAAUUCUAAAUUAUCCAUUGAUACAUUCUCUACUCAUCAAUUCGAUUUGAAUUGUGUUGUGUUGUUAGCUAUGGACGCUCAACGAGCUCUCCUCGACGAACUCAUGGGUUCAGCUCGAAACAUGACUGAGGAAGAAAGAAGGGGUUACAAGGAAGUGAGUUGGGACGAUAAGGAAGUUUGUGGUUUCUAUAUGGUUCGCUUUUGCCCUCACGAUCUCUUCGUCAAUACGCGCAGUGAUCUCGGAGCUUGCCCGAAAGUACAUGACCCGAAGUUGAAAGAAAAUUUUGAGAAUUCCCCAAGGCAUGAUGCGUAUGUGCCUAAAUUUGAAGCCGAUCUUGCUCAAUUUUGUGAGAAAUUGGUGAUGGACUUGGAUAGAAGAGUAAAACGUGGACGAGAACGUCUUAAUCAAGAGGUGGAGCUACCACCGCCGCCACCACUGACAGCUGAAAAAUCUGAACAGUUGUCUGUCCUGGAGGAGAAAAUAAAGAACCUUCUGGAACAAGUUGAAUCUCUUGGUGAAGCUGGGAAGGUUGAUGAAGCUGAAGCUCUUAUGAGAAAGGUGGAGACACUUAAUACUGAGAAGGCAGUCUUAACACAACCUCAAAAUGAAAAGGUGUUAAUGCUUCAGGAGAAGAAGAUGGCACUCUGUGAGGUAUGUGGUUCAUUUCUUGUGGCAAACGAUGCUGCAGAAAGAACUCAGUCUCAUGUCGCAGGAAAGCAGCAUGUUGGCUAUGGUAUGGUUCGUGACUUCAUAAAUGAACACAAGAUUGCUAAGGAGAAGGCUAAGGAAGAAGAAAGAUUGACUCGGGAAAAAGAGGUAGAAGAGCGAAGAAAACAAAAGGAGCAGGAUCCUGAGAGAAAGAGACGGAGUGAUUCAAGUGAUAGGGAGAAAUAUCGUGAUAAAGAUCGAGAUAGGCAGCGUGAUAGGUACAGAGAUAAAGACUCGGAUCGUGAAAGAUCUCGGGAAUAUGAAGGUAGAGGUAAUCGAGAUCGGGGAAGGGGGAUGGUUUCUAGGUUGAGGAAUGAAAAAAAUGGAAGCAGAGACAGGUACCACAAUCGGAGCAGAUCACGUUCCCCUAUUAAGCAUAACUACAGAAGGUCUUGAAGUUGUGUUUGCUCCAAGUAGUGGAAUUUCUCGAUAGAUGUCAGAAUUUAAAUUCAAAAGAGAGCUUUCUUGAGACUAUACAAUCUCCCUUUCAUCAAUAUUAUUAAUGGAGUAAAGGGUCGAGGUAGGCAUUUCACCGUUGUAACUUCUCUCAUAAAUUGGUUUGCGUCUUAAUUUUAAGUUAUUUAUGAUAAUUCAUCUCAAACAUUGUGUGUAGUCUUUCUUUACAUGCAUUUUCUGGAAAUCAUUUGACUGAGUAAAGAUGUCAGACACAAAAUUACAUGAGUGAUUGUCAUUGCCGCAAAAGUGGAUGAUUUACUCUUGUUUUGAGGUAACAUGUGAAUCUUAUUACCUUGAGGCAAAGAUUGGUAUUUGUUCAUAGAAAUGUUUCUGUUUGCCCUUUUUGUAUGUUUCAUUACUUUUGUUCCUUAAGUUGAUAUAAACCAGCACAGGUUUAUAAAUGCUGCUUAUUCUGACAUACAUUUGACAUUGAACUACACUCUGAAGGCACCUGUUUAGAAGAUAUAGGUAAUCUUACUGAAUUUGUUGUUAGGCACUACUCGAAUCCAUGGUACUCAUACUCAUAAUUUUAUUGGGGAAAAGAUGAUUGCAUGUUGUCACCUCAAAACUCAGCAGUUUUACUUUGAGUUUGUCCAAUUGGUAACUCGUUUGGAAUGGUGAACUACCUCAUCCUUAAAAAAAAAAAAGUUUGAUGUGCAAAAUACUGUUUUAAUUGAACAUAUAGGACUGGAAAAUACAGGUAUUUAGCCCUUUGCCAAGUUAAUUUAUAGAGACAUAGUCAUUUGCAAGAAAAACUGUCAUUGAACAGGGCCUUGGGAUGCUUCGUUUUUUGUGAACAAGCAAGUUAUUGUCUGUGCGAUUGGAGGUAAUUGGCUCUCAUAUCUGUUAAGAGUGUUUAAUUUGGUGUUCAGGAACACACAAAUGUCGUUGUGAAUUAUGAUAUUUAAUUGCUAGAUAGCUUCUGGACGUGAUAUGUGCAGGUAAAUAACUGCUUCAUGAUGGGAGAAACAACACAAUGAAAAUUUAGCUUAUUCUUUUUAGAUUGUGAAGAAAGUGAUGUUACAUUACUCAACUGGAAGUCAAAACGUUGGUAAAUCUUGGUAGUACUUUUGAAAUUCAGUCUUAAUAAUGAUUGUAAAGUUCCACGAAAAUAAAAAUGAGCGACUUUGAAAUAA
RNA transcript from Medicago truncatula (barrel medic), 2419 nucleotides. It is a transcript of the gene named luc7-like protein 3, with no coding region annotated. The record is from RefSeq and is a predicted model, not a curated record. NCBI's taxonomy places the organism in Eukaryota, Viridiplantae, Streptophyta, Magnoliopsida, Fabales, Fabaceae. The transcript is spliced from 8 exons.